This 1275-nucleotide ribosomal RNA is filed under the name Triticum aestivum (bread wheat). RNAcentral's name for it is "partial small subunit ribosomal RNA". Lineage: Eukaryota; Viridiplantae; Streptophyta; Magnoliopsida; Poales; Poaceae. The record is from RNAcentral.
AUGGCCAUCUUCGACGAGUUCUAUGUUGGGUCCAUUGAUCUCGGGCGCCUUAACUACGGGGCGAUCUCGCUUAUCCCCAAGGUCCCUGGGGCAUCUGACAUCCGUCAGUUUCGCCCGAUCACGGUGAUAAACGUGAUGUUUCGUAUUCUGGCGAAAGGGUACGCCAAUAGGGUGACCCUGCUCGCGGACCACAUUACCCACCCCAACCAAUCGGCCUUCAUCCAAGGACGAUAUAUUCUGGAUGGGGCGCUAGUCCUCCACGAGGUCCGCUCCAAACACCUAAAGGCGGUCUUCCUGAAGAUCGAUUUCCAUAAGGCCUAUGACACCGUUAGCUGGCCCUUCCUUCGGGAAGUUCUUCUACGGAAAGGCUUCGAUGACCGCUGGAUCUCCAGGGUGAUGCAGAUGGUCUCCUGUGGUCGCACUGCCGUGAACAUAAAUGGGGAGAUUGGCCCCUACUUCCCCACUCUUUGUGGGGUGAGGCAAGGCGAUCCCUUUUUCCCGUUCCUGCUCAACAUGGUGGUGGAUGCACUGGCGGCCAUCUUGGACAAGGCUAAGGCGGCAGGCCAUAUCCGUGGGCUCGCUCCCCACUUGGCCGGCGGCACCGGCAUCUCCCUGCUCCAGUACGCUGACGACACCAUCAUCAUGGUCGAAGGCUCGGACGCGGACAUCGCCAACCUUAAGUUCCUCCUCCUCUGCUUCCAACAAAUGUCUGGCCUCAAGAUCAACUUCGAUAAGAGUGAUGUGAUGGUGAUGGGCUACUCUCCGGCCGAGGCCCGCGAAAUCGCCAACCGCCUGAAUUGCCGCCUGGGCACCUUCCCCACCACCUACCUGGGGACGCCCAUUAGUGACUCUCGGCUUACAGUGGCUGAUCUGCGACCGACGGUGUCCAAGUUGCAGACGCAUAUUGAUCCAUGGCAGGGCCGGUGGCUGUCAAAGGCGGCCCGGAUGAUCCUCAUCAACUCCUCGCUCUCCAGCCUCCUCUUGUUCCUCAUGAGCUUCUACAACCCCCACGAGACGCUCCACCAUGAGAUUGCGAAGGUCCAAUCCCGCUUUUAUUGGGCCGGGGACAAUAGCAAACAGAAAUACCAUAUGGUUAGUUGGCCCGAUAUCUGCAAGCCUCGGGAGCAGGGCGGCUUCGGUAUCAUGUGUUCGAAACGCAUGAAUAUUGCUCUCCUCUCCCGAUGGCUUUGGCGCAUCUCGCAAGGGCAUGGUGGGUUGUGGCUGGACAUCAUCCGGAACAAGUACUUGCACGGCCAACCUUUGGCCUUCUGCUAA